RNAcentral lists this ribosomal RNA (1102 nucleotides) under Verrucomicrobiaceae bacterium C20 UNDR-2009. RNAcentral's name for it is "bacterial SSU rRNA". It matches the Rfam family "Bacterial small subunit ribosomal RNA", at positions 324 to 1419 of the family's 1533-position model. The record is from RNAcentral. Lineage: Bacteria; Pseudomonadati; Verrucomicrobiota; Verrucomicrobiia; Verrucomicrobiales; Verrucomicrobiaceae.
ACACGGUCCAGACACCUACGGGUGGCAGCAGUCGAGAAUAAUUCACAAUGGGGGCAACCCUGAUGGUGCAACGCCGCGUGGAGGAUGACGGUCUUCGGAUUGUAAACUCCUGUCAUCCGGGAGUAAGACCUGGCUGUGAAUAGCAGACAGGGUUGAUAGUACCGGAAGAGGAAGGGACGGCUAACUUCGUGCCAGCAGCCGCGGUAAUACGAAGGUCCCGAGCGUUGUUCGGAAUCACUGGGCGUAAGGGAGCGUAGGCGGCGUGGUAAGUCAGAUGUGAAAUCCCGGGGUCUCAACCCCGGAACUGCAUCCGAUACUGCCGUGCUAGAGGAUUGGAGAGGUAGCUGGAAUUCUUGGUGUAGCAGUGAAAUGCGUGGAGAUCAAGAGGAACACUCGUGGCGAAAGCGAGCUACUGGACAAUAUCUGACGCUGAGGCUCGAAGGCCAGGGUAGCGAAAGGGAUUAGAUACCCCUGUAGUCCUGGCAGUAAACGGUGCACGCUUGGUGUGAGGGGAAUCGACCCCCCUUGUGCCGGAGCUAACGCGUUAAGCGUGCCGCCUGGGAAGUACGGUCGCAAGACUAAAACUCAAAGAAAUUGACGGGGACCCGCACAAGCGGUGGAGUAUGUGGCUUAAUUCGAUGCAACGCGAAGAACCUUACCAAGGCUUGACAUGCAUCUCUAAGCGCGUGAAGCGCUGACCCUUCGGGGAAUUUGCACAGGUGCUGCAUGGCCGUCGUCAGCUCGUGUCGUGAGAUGUUGGGUUAAGUCCCGCAACGAGCGCAACCCUUGUGACUAGUUGCCAGCACGUGAUGGUGGGAACUCUAGUCAGACUGCCCAGAUCAACUGGGAGGAAGGUGGGGACGACGUCAGGUCAGUAUGGCCCUUACGCCUUGGGCUGCACACGUACUACAAUGCCCAGCACAAUGAGAACCGAUACCGCGAGGUGGAGGAAAUCUGCAAAACUGGGCUCAGUUCGGAUUGGAGGCUGCAACUCGCCUCCAUGAAGUUGGAAUCGCUAGUAAUGCCGUAUCAUCUACGACGGCGUGAAUACGUUCCCGGGUCUUGUACACACCGCCCGUCACAUCCAUGGAAGCCGGUCGCA